This 242-nucleotide long non-coding RNA is filed under the name Gossypium raimondii (Peruvian cotton). RNAcentral describes it as "long non-coding RNA (GRAI_LNC011142)". The record is from RNAcentral. Lineage: Eukaryota; Viridiplantae; Streptophyta; Magnoliopsida; Malvales; Malvaceae.
GGAGACUUACCUUGGCCCUCGAGAGUUGUUAGGAGGGGUUUAAGAACCCAGAUUUGGCACCCCUCCGGCCUCCGAUUACACGGAGUCGCGAUGGAGGGGAAUAAGGCGGUGGCGCGAGGAAGCUUGGGUAUUAAACCCUAGCAGAGCGCCAAAAAUGUUUCUUUUCUAAGUUUUUUCUUUUCUUUUAACUGGUAAAUGAUUUUUGAAAGGAAAUUUGUUUUAAAUAUCAAUCAAAACGGCGC